This is a transfer RNA of Fusarium langsethiae, 96 nucleotides long. It matches the Rfam family "tRNA". Rfam says of the family: Transfer RNA (tRNA) molecules are approximately 80 nucleotides in length. Their secondary structure includes four short double-helical elements and three loops (D, anti-codon, and T loops). NCBI's taxonomy places the organism in Eukaryota, Fungi, Ascomycota, Sordariomycetes, Hypocreales, Nectriaceae. The record is from Rfam.
GACAACGUGUCCGAGUGGUUAAGGAGAUAGACUUGAAUCAGAAUGAUUGGAUAUCUAUUGGCUUCGGCCUCGCAGGUUCGAAUCCUGUCGUUGUCG